Molecule: ribosomal RNA, 449 nt
Filed under: uncultured bacterium
Lineage: Bacteria
Description: bacterial SSU rRNA
Rfam family: Bacterial small subunit ribosomal RNA
Source: RNAcentral
UCGAGAAUCUUUUGCAAUGGGCGAAAGCCUGACAAAGCGACGCCGUGUGAGUGAUGAAGGCCUUCGGGUUGUAAAGCUCUUUCGCUUGGGAACAAGAGAAGUUGGCUAAUAUCCAGCUAAUUUGAGGGUACCAGGUAAAGAAGCACCGGCUAACUCCGUGCCAGCAGCUGCGGUAAUACGGAGGGUGCAAGCAUUAAUCGGAUUUAUUGGGCGUAAAGGGCGCGUAGGCGGAAAUGUAAGUCAUGUGUGAAAUCCCGGGGCUCAACCUCGGAACAGCACGUGAAACUACAUUACUAGAGGGAUGGCGGAGAAAAUAGAAUUCCACAAGUAGCGGUGAAAUGCGUAGAUAUGUGGAGGAAUACCAGUGGCGAAGGCGGUUUUCUAGCUAUUUCCUGACGCUGAGGCGCGAAAGCAAGGGGAUCAAACAGGAUUAGAUACCCCCGUAGUCC